This 257-nucleotide long non-coding RNA is filed under the name Homo sapiens (human). RNAcentral's name for it is "HSALNT0303742". Lineage: Eukaryota; Metazoa; Chordata; Mammalia; Primates; Hominidae. The record is from RNAcentral.
GUUCAGCCAAUUAUCACCUUAACAACCCACCUUUCACAUUAAGGAAAGGAGAAUGGUUUGAAAAUGGUAAUGAGGAGAAAGAAUGACACUGACACCAGCUCCAGGUCCCGUGGAAUGAAAUCUAUGACAGUUUCUUGCUCUGUCACCCAGGCUGGAGUGUAAUGGUGUGAUCCUAGCUCACGGCAGCCUUGAAUUCCCAGGAUCAAGUGAUUCUCCCACCUCAGCUUCUGGAGUAGCCGGGAAUACAGGUAUGUACC